CCUACGGGGGACUGCAGUGAGGAAUAUUGGUCAAUGGACGCAAGUCUGAACCAGCCAUGCCGCGUGCAGGAAGACGGCUCUAUGAGUUGUAAACUGCUUUUGUACGAGGGUAAACGCAGAUACGCGUAUCUGUCUGAAAGUAUCGUACGAAUAAGGAUCGGCUAACUCCGUGCCAGCAGCCGCGGUAAUACGGAGGAUUCAAGCGUUAUCCGGAUUUAUUGGGUUUAAAGGGUGCGUAGGCGGUCGGAUAAGUUAGAGGUGAAAUCCCGAGGCUCAACUUCGGAAUUGCCUCUGAUACUGUUCGGCUAGAGAGUAGUAGCGGUAGGCGGAAUGUAUGGUGUAGCGGUGAAAUGCUUAGAGAUCAUGCAGAACACCGAUUGCGAAGGCAGCUUACCAAGCUACUUCUGACGUUGAGGCACGAAAGCGUGGGUAGCAAACAGGAUUAGAUACCCGGGUAGUC
This 460-nucleotide ribosomal RNA is filed under the name uncultured bacterium. RNAcentral describes it as "partial 16S ribosomal RNA". It matches the Rfam family "Bacterial small subunit ribosomal RNA", at positions 338 to 795 of the family's 1533-position model. The record is from RNAcentral.